RNAcentral lists this long non-coding RNA (271 nucleotides) under Elaeis guineensis (African oil palm). Its description in RNAcentral is "long non-coding RNA (EGUI_LNC052159)". Lineage: Eukaryota; Viridiplantae; Streptophyta; Magnoliopsida; Arecales; Arecaceae. The record is from RNAcentral.
AUGCAAACAAUGACUCCCACCAAUUUAUCGGAUCUCUCUACUCUUCGAGAAGGAAAUAGAAAUCCUAAUGCGAUAAAAGAUUCUUAGUGGAUGUUGCAGUCCCACUGAUGACAUGCACCUCACCUAACAAUCAUUGGUAACAUGCACACCAAUGCAUAGGCAACUCUUUACCCAGAUGUUUCUCUAAGUAUGUUGCAGCAACUUGGUCUCUAAGUCAUGUGGGCUCACCUAAUAGUUAUUGUCCAUAUUUUUUAGUUAAGCCCGACCCACC